GGUUAAGCGACUAAGCGUACACGGUGGAUGCCCUGGCAGUCAGAGGCGAUGAAGGACGUGCUAAUCUGCGAUAAGCGUCGGUAAGGUGAUAUGAACCGUUAUAACCGGCGAUUUCCGAAUGGGGAAACCCAGUGUGAUUCGUCACACUAUCAUUAACUGAAUCCAUAGGUUAAUGAGGCGAACCGGGGGAACUGAAACAUCUAAGUACCCCGAGGAAAAGAAAUCAACCGAGAUUCCCCCAGUAGCGGCGAGCGAACGGGGAGCAGCCCAGAGCCUGAAUCAGUGUGUGUGUUAGUGGAAGCGUCUGGAAAGGCGCGCGAUACAGGGUGACAGCCCCGUACACAAAAAUGCACAUACUGUGAGCUCGAUGAGUAGGGCGGGACACGUGGUAUCCUGUCUGAAUAUGGGGGGACCAUCCUCCAAGGCUAAAUACUCCUGACUGACCGAUAGUGAACCAGUACCGUGAGGGAAAGGCGAAAAGAACCCCGGCGAGGGGAGUGAAAAAGAACCUGAAACCGUGUACGUACAAGCAGUGGGAGCACGCUUAGGCGUGUGACUGCGUACCUUUUGUAUAAUGGGUCAGCGACUUAUAUUCUGUAGCAAGGUUAACCGAAUAGGGGAGCCGAAGGGAAACCGAGUCUUAACUGGGCGUUAAGUUGCAGGGUAUAGACCCGAAACCCGGUGAUCUAGCCAUGGGCAGGUUGAAGGUUGGGUAACACUAACUGGAGGACCGAACCGACUAAUGUUGAAAAAUUAGCGGAUGACUUGUGGCUGGGGGUGAAAGGCCAAUCAAACCGGGAGAUAGCUGGUUCUCCCCGAAAGCUAUUUAGGUAGCGCCUCGUGAAUUCAUCUCCGGGGGUAGAGCACUGUUUCGGCAAGGGGGUCAUCCCGACUUACCAACCCGAUGCAAACUGCGAAUACCGGAGAAUGUUAUCACGGGAGACACACGGCGGGUGCUAACGUCCGUCGUGAAGAGGGAAACAACCCAGACCGCCAGCUAAGGUCCCAAAGUCAUGGUUAAGUGGGAAACGAUGUGGGAAGGCCCAGACAGCCAGGAUGUUGGCUUAGAAGCAGCCAUCAUUUAAAGAAAGCGUAAUAGCUCACUGGUCGAGUCGGCCUGCGCGGAAGAUGUAACGGGGCUAAACCAUGCACCGAAGCUGCGGCAGCGACGCUUAUGCGUUGUUGGGUAGGGGAGCGUUCUGUAAGCCUGCGAAGGUGUGCUGUGAGGCAUGCUGGAGGUAUCAGAAGUGCGAAUGCUGACAUAAGUAACGAUAAAGCGGGUGAAAAGCCCGCUCGCCGGAAGACCAAGGGUUCCUGUCCAACGUUAAUCGGGGCAGGGUGAGUCGACCCCUAAGGCGAGGCCGAAAGGCGUAGUCGAUGGGAAACAGGUUAAUAUUCCUGUACUUGGUGUUACUGCGAAGGGGGGACGGAGAAGGCUAUGUUGGCCGGGCGACGGUUGUCCCGGUUUAAGCGUGUAGGCUGGUUUUCCAGGCAAAUCCGGAAAAUCAAGGCUGAGGCGUGAUGACGAGGCACUACGGUGCUGAAGCAACAAAUGCCCUGCUUCCAGGAAAAGCCUCUAAGCAUCAGGUAACAUCAAAUCGUACCCCAAACCGACACAGGUGGUCAGGUAGAGAAUACCAAGGCGCUUGAGAGAACUCGGGUGAAGGAACUAGGCAAAAUGGUGCCGUAACUUCGGGAGAAGGCACGCUGAUAUGUAGGUGAAGUCCCUCGCGGAUGGAGCUGAAAUCAGUCGAAGAUACCAGCUGGCUGCAACUGUUUAUUAAAAACACAGCACUGUGCAAACACGAAAGUGGACGUAUACGGUGUGACGCCUGCCCGGUGCCGGAAGGUUAAUUGAUGGGGUUAGCGCAAGCGAAGCUCUUGAUCGAAGCCCCGGUAAACGGCGGCCGUAACUAUAACGGUCCUAAGGUAGCGAAAUUCCUUGUCGGGUAAGUUCCGACCUGCACGAAUGGCGUAAUGAUGGCCAGGCUGUCUCCACCCGAGACUCAGUGAAAUUGAACUCGCUGUGAAGAUGCAGUGUACCCGCGGCAAGACGGAAAGACCCCGUGAACCUUUACUAUAGCUUGACACUGAACAUUGAGCCUUGAUGUGUAGGAUAGGUGGGAGGCUUUGAAGUGUGGACGCCAGUCUGCAUGGAGCCGACCUUGAAAUACCACCCUUUAAUGUUUGAUGUUCUAACGUUGACCCGUAAUCCGGGUUGCGGACAGUGUCUGGUGGGUAGUUUGACUGGGGCGGUCUCCUCCUAAAGAGUAACGGAGGAGCACGAAGGUUGGCUAAUCCUGGUCGGACAUCAGGAGGUUAGUGCAAUGGCAUAAGCCAGCUUGACUGCGAGCGUGACGGCGCGAGCAGGUGCGAAAGCAGGUCAUAGUGAUCCGGUGGUUCUGAAUGGAAGGGCCAUCGCUCAACGGAUAAAAGGUACUCCGGGGAUAACAGGCUGAUACCGCCCAAGAGUUCAUAUCGACGGCGGUGUUUGGCACCUCGAUGUCGGCUCAUCACAUCCUGGGGCUGAAGUAGGUCCCAAGGGUAUGGCUGUUCGCCAUUUAAAGUGGUACGCGAGCUGGGUUUAGAACGUCGUGAGACAGUUCGGUCCCUAUCUGCCGUGGGCGCUGGAGAACUGAGGGGGGCUGCUCCUAGUACGAGAGGACCGGAGUGGACGCAUCACUGGUGUUCGGGUUGUCAUGCCAAUGGCACUGCCCGGUAGCUAAAUGCGGAAGAGAUAAGUGCUGAAAGCAUCUAAGCACGAAACUUGCCCCGAGAUGAGUUCUCCCUGACUCCUUGAGAGUCCUGAAGGAACGUUGAAGACGACGACGUUGAUAGGCCGGAUGUGUAAGCGCAGCGAUGCGUUGAGCUAACCGGUACUAAUGAACCGUGAGGCUUAACCUU
RNAcentral lists this ribosomal RNA (2904 nucleotides) under Escherichia coli 96.154. Its description in RNAcentral is "bacterial LSU rRNA". It matches the Rfam family "Bacterial large subunit ribosomal RNA". Lineage: Bacteria; Pseudomonadati; Pseudomonadota; Gammaproteobacteria; Enterobacterales; Enterobacteriaceae. The record is from RNAcentral.